UUCCCAUACCGAACACGGAAGUUAAGCUCUUCAGCGCCGAUGGUAGUUGGGGGUUUCCCCCUGUGAGAGUAGGACGCCGCCAAGCU
Molecule: ribosomal RNA, 86 nt
Filed under: Bacillus altitudinis
Lineage: Bacteria; Bacillati; Bacillota; Bacilli; Caryophanales; Bacillaceae
Also listed under: 1 other name
Source: RNAcentral